GAUGAACGCUGGCGGCGUGCCUAAUACAUGCAAGUCGAGCGAACGGACGAGAAGCUUGCUUCUCUGAUGUUAGCGGCGGACGGGUGAGUAACACGUGGAUAACCUACCUAUAAGACUGGGAUAACUUCGGGAAACCGUAGCUAAUACCGGAUAAUAUUUUGAACCGCAUGGUUCAAAAGUGAAAGACGGUCUUGCUGUCACUUAUAGAUGGAUCCGCGCUGCAUUAGCUAGUUGGUAAGGUAACGGCUUACCAAGGCAACGAUGCAUAUCCGACCUGAGAGGGGGAUCGGCCACACUGGAACUGAGACACGGUCCAGCCCCCUACGGGAGGCAGCAGGAGGAAAUCUGCCGCAAGGGGCGAAAGCCUGACGAAGCAACGCCGCGUGAGUGAUGAAGGUCUUCGGUUCGUAAAACUCUGUUAUUAGGGAAGAACAUAUGUGUAAGUAACUGUGCACAUCUUGACGGUACCUAAGCAGAAAGCCACGGCUAACUACGU
Molecule: ribosomal RNA, 496 nt
Filed under: uncultured bacterium
Lineage: Bacteria
Description: partial 16S ribosomal RNA
Rfam family: Bacterial small subunit ribosomal RNA
Source: RNAcentral